This is a long non-coding RNA of Anguilla rostrata (American eel), 627 nucleotides long. RefSeq lists it as uncharacterized. NCBI's taxonomy places the organism in Eukaryota, Metazoa, Chordata, Actinopteri, Anguilliformes, Anguillidae. The record is from RefSeq and is a predicted model, not a curated record. The transcript is spliced from 3 exons.
UGUGCACCCACAAUGGUCAGUACCAUCCUCCAGGGAAACCCUUCUGGGAUGGUUCUGGUUGUACAGAGCUUUGCGAGUGCAACCCUUCCACAGGUUUAGUCACCUGUCAGAAAUCUCAAUGCGAACCCGAAGAAGAAUGUAAAGUUGUAAAGGGUGUGAGUGAAUGUGUGGCAAAAACCAUUCCUGCACCUGUUAAACCACUGAAUGUACUGCCUUGUACACACAAGGGUCAGUCCCAUCCUCCAGGGAAACCCUUCUGGGAUGGUUCUGGUUGUACAGAGCUUUGCGAGUGCAACCCUUCCACAGGUUUAGUCACCUGUCAGAAAUCUCAAUGCAAACCUGAAGAAGAAUGUAAAGUUGUAAAGGGUGUGAGUGAAUGUGUGGCAAAAACCAUUCCUGCACCUGUUAAACCACUGAAAGUACUGCCUUGUACACACAAGGGUCAGUCCCAUCCUCCUGGGAAACCCUUCUGGGAUGGUUCUGGCUGUACAGAGCUUUGCAAGUGCAACCCUUCCACAGGUUUAGUCACCUGCCAGAAAUCUCAGUGCAAACCUGAAGAAGAAUGUAAAGUUGUAAAGGGUGAGAGUGAAUGUGUGGCAAGAACCAUUCCUCCUCCUGUCAAGCCAC